This 253-nucleotide ribosomal RNA is filed under the name uncultured bacterium. RNAcentral describes it as "partial 16S ribosomal RNA". It matches the Rfam family "Bacterial small subunit ribosomal RNA", at positions 524 to 776 of the family's 1533-position model. The record is from RNAcentral.
UACGGAGGAUGCAAGCGUUAUCCGGAUUUACUGGGUUUAAAGGGUGCGUAGGCGGACCAGUCAGUCAGUGGUGAAAGCCUGUUGCUUAACAACAGAACGGCCAUUGAUACUGCUUGUCUUGAGUACAGUUGAGGUUGGCGGAAUAUGUCAUGUAGUAGUGAAAUACUUAGAUAUGACAUAGAACACCGAUUGCGAAGGCAGCUAGCUAAGCUGUUACUGACGCUGAGGCACGAAAGCGUGGGGAGCAAACAGG